UUGACCUCGGAUCAGGUAGGAGUC
RNAcentral lists this ribosomal RNA (24 nucleotides) under Dirina massiliensis. Its description in RNAcentral is "partial large subunit ribosomal RNA". Lineage: Eukaryota; Fungi; Ascomycota; Arthoniomycetes; Arthoniales; Roccellaceae. The record is from RNAcentral.